GACGAACGUUGGCGGCGUGCUUAAUACAUGCCAGUCAACUGAAGCAGUGGUAGCAAUAUCGCUGUGGAGGUGGCGCACGGGUGAGUAACACGUAGGUAAUCUGCCUUCAGGUCUGGCAUAACUCCGGGAAACCGGGGCUAAUAGCAGAUGAUGCAGCGGCUCGACAUCGAGACAGUUGUUAAAGCUAUGGCGCCUGAAGAUGAGCCUGCGUCUGAUUAGGUAGUUGGCGGGGUAACGGCCCACCAAGGCAACGAUCAGUAGCUGGUCUGAGAGGAUGAUCAGCCACACUGGAACUGAGACACGGUCCAGACUCCUACGGGAGGCAGCAGUAAGGAAUAUUGCUCAAUGGGAGAAAUCCUGAAGCAGCAACGCCGCGUGAGGGACGAAGGGCUUUGGCUUGUAAACCUCUGUAGUGAGAGAAAAAAAUCCCAAUCUUUGGGACAUGAUGGUAGCUCAAAAGUAAGCCCCGGCUAACUACGUG
Molecule: ribosomal RNA, 481 nt
Filed under: uncultured bacterium
Lineage: Bacteria
Description: partial 16S ribosomal RNA
Rfam family: Bacterial small subunit ribosomal RNA
Source: RNAcentral